UUAGGAGAAAACAGAGAGCUGGUAGCAGUUCUGAGGACACUAGAGAGGGCAUCGUGAUUGGAGGUCAACACCUACAUUGAUUCCGCCGAUGUGGUUAGGAUAAUUUUGACGGAUUUACAAUUUUAGAGGCAAAAUGGGAGAAUGCAUGUUUUCCACCCUAACCACCUUCUUGCAGACCAGGAGAGGACAUCUCGGAAGGAGGAGAACUACAGACGGAGUGGCCAGGAAUGAGACUGACGUAUCCCGAGCAGACGUAUGUGAGCAUCCUAAAGCGAAAGUGGCACCAGCCGAGAUGGAUGGGACCCAACAAAGUGCCGGAAGGGACCAGUCAUGCUGUCCGUCUGAGAGGGAAGCGCAGCCCCAGGAGCAUCUCCAACUUCAAAGUGAAAUUUGGAAGGACGACUGGACG
Hippocampus comes (tiger tail seahorse) is the source of this 409-nucleotide long non-coding RNA. RefSeq lists it as uncharacterized. Lineage: Eukaryota; Metazoa; Chordata; Actinopteri; Syngnathiformes; Syngnathidae. The record is from RefSeq and is a predicted model, not a curated record. The transcript is spliced from 2 exons.